GCGAUGAUGAUGACGGUUGCA
This 21-nucleotide non-coding RNA is filed under the name Arabidopsis thaliana (thale cress). Lineage: Eukaryota; Viridiplantae; Streptophyta; Magnoliopsida; Brassicales; Brassicaceae. The record is from RNAcentral.